This 21-nucleotide non-coding RNA is filed under the name Caenorhabditis elegans. Lineage: Eukaryota; Metazoa; Nematoda; Chromadorea; Rhabditida; Rhabditidae. The record is from RNAcentral.
UAAAAACUAUAAGCUGGAUAA